RNAcentral lists this long non-coding RNA (949 nucleotides) under Homo sapiens (human). Its description in RNAcentral is "HSALNT0095015". Lineage: Eukaryota; Metazoa; Chordata; Mammalia; Primates; Hominidae. The record is from RNAcentral.
AACAUGUGAAAACUUAAGAAAGAUCCCUGGCUGUCUCCCACCCUGCCUUCUCCCUACUUCCCAAAGCCUACAAACCAAUCUAGACAAGUUCCUGACUGUACCAUAAACCAUUUCUCAGGGAGCUGGAAUGCAUUCAUACUUGACUUCAACUUGCUGGAAGUGAGAGUGACAGCAGGCAGGAGGAGACAAGUAUAACUGCCAGGGAAAGAGAGACCAAACCAGACUGCCAAAAAUAACCAAGGCCUUAGCAGAAGCCUGGGCCACAGUAUAACAUCCUGCCAUGGCCGGCAAAGGGCCUAGGGUCCAAAUACUGCCCCUUUUUGAAAGGUUGACCCACAUCUUAGAUGAAGGGGCUGGAACAGUUAGGUGGCCUUCUACCCUGCUUCUUCCUUGUCUUUGUGGGGAAGGGAAGAAGACACUGUAGUACACAAGGUUGCUUGGGAAAAUGGAUUAUUCUAAUAAAACUUUAUUUUUUCAAACACAGCCACAGAGGCAGAACCUCAUGUUUAACACACACAGACUUAUGGAUUUUUCUUUUAAUAUAAAACAAAGUUUACGAAAAUUUUUUUCCACUUUUUGUAUUUGUAAUCCCAUUAGCACAGGGACUUUGGCAGCAGGUGGGAGUGAAGGGCAGCUGAGCUGCCACUGGGCAGUCACUGGGCACAGGAGGAGAGCACCAGCCUGGGGAGUGGCUUCACUCACACACACAGGGAUACUCACCUACUGGCCAACCACACUACACACACAGCACAGAUGCAGACAUUGACCCAGUGUCAGCCACAUGCCCUGGAGGUGUGCUCCACUCUGGGUAAGCCCAAUAUGUGAAAAUUCAAAUAGUCAAAACAGCUAAAGUGGAGGGAGAAGAUUUCCAGCUGCCCUGAGUCGGAGCCCUCCACUCACCCCCAUUCCCAGGCUCGGCCCCCAGCCUUGGGGACUCGACACUUGUUAG